UACGUAGGGGGCAAGCGUUGUCCGGAAUCAUUGGGCGUAAAGAGCGUGUAGGCGGUCCGGUAAGUCGGCUGUGAAAGUCCGGGGCUCAACCCUGGGAUGCCGGUCGAUACUGCCGGACUAGAGUUCGGAAGAGGCGAGUGGAAUUCCCGGUGUAGCGGUGAAAUGCGCAGAUAUCGGGAGGAACACCUAUGGCGAAGGCAGCUCGCUGGGACGUUACUGACGCUGAGACGCGAAAGCGUGGGGAGCAAACAGG
This 253-nucleotide ribosomal RNA is filed under the name uncultured bacterium. RNAcentral describes it as "partial 16S ribosomal RNA". It matches the Rfam family "Bacterial small subunit ribosomal RNA", at positions 524 to 776 of the family's 1533-position model. The record is from RNAcentral.